GCUAUUUUGGCAGAUUAGUGCAGUAAAUUUAGAAUUUAUUUAAGUAAAGAAAUUACAUAUAGUA
RNAcentral lists this transfer RNA (64 nucleotides) under Neocentrocnemis stali. Its description in RNAcentral is "tRNA-Leu". The record is from RNAcentral. Lineage: Eukaryota; Metazoa; Arthropoda; Insecta; Hemiptera; Reduviidae.